GAGGACGACGACUCCAGGUCAGCUAACGCACCACUCCGACCCAGUGUGCGCUAAUCAAUGAUCAUCAACAGUAUCUGUGCACCGGUUACUUCGUCAGGUACCAAACAAAUCUGACGAAUUCAUUUUGUCUGAGGUGACAUUUUCUUAGGAGUUUAAAAAUGUUUUUGUGAAGAAGUUAUUUAUCUAUAAAAACCAAUCAAUGAAUUUUUCCAGUAGAUUUAUUGUCUCUUUUAAUGCUUCAUAUUUGACCUCAAUACGUUUUGGUACAGACCAAAUUUUGUCACAGAAACCUCAUUUUCUUAAAAGACGAGGUGUUUUCAGUUACACAGUUAAAACUGAAACUGUUUGUUCUUUGUCAUAGUUUAUUCAUUUUUUAUCUUUCUUUAUUUGUUGUAUUACUCAUUUUACAACAUUUUGGUAUUAUCAUGUGUAGAGCUGCAACGAUUUGUCAAUCCAUUAGUCGAUCAAAGGAAAAUUAUUUUUUUAUACAAAAAUGUCAGUAAUUUAAUGGUUCAAAGUUCUGUCUCACGUUAAAGUGAAUAUUUUGGGGUUUUGGACAAAACAAGAAAGUUUGAAGACGUCACCUUGUGCUCUGGGAAAUGAUAAUGACCCUUCUUUUUUAUGUUUUCUGAUGACAACGAUAAAAAACAAAUAGCAUAUUAAUUAAUAAUGAAAAUAGUAAUUAAUUGUUGCCUGAUUUGUGUGUAUUGCUUUACCAUUUACACUUGGACCGUCUUAUUAUCUGUAAAGAUCUUUGAAUUCCACUAACUUCUAUGAAAAGGUAUGUAAAUAAAGUUUGAUUGAUUCAUUGAAAAAAGUAUUAUCUGAUAUUGGUUAAAGCAAAAACACAAUUCCUCAGCAAAUAAACUCUAAUGAAGAAGAUCAUGUUCUAUGAUUGAAAGCAGCAACUAAAGCGAUCUUGUGUUUACAUUGUUUUGUUUUGUUUAUUGAUGACUAAUAACCUGUUAUCAACUGUCUUUUAUAUACAGAUGUUUAUGUGUUUGUUUCUGUGAUGUAGCGCAUUUGAGUUCGUUGUUUCUGUAACUUGUACAAUGUCAAUAAAGGUUUUGAAUAUUGAAUAACGAUGGCUAACGUUCAACAGAUGGAGAAACGGACGUUACCUUCAUUAAAUAACGGAAACACAGGUUGUAACAGGUGCUCGUGCCCAACAGCGUCCUCCCUGCGACGCUGCUCCUUUGAGGUGCUGCACCAGUGCAUCCUCCGUUGGGGGGGAGGAUUUGCUUCAUUCCUCCCUCUUCUCUUUGUGAACAACUCGAGACGAGCCGGAUCGAUGAUGAGCUGGCUGCUGAUGUGAUCGUACAGGAGAAGUGUGAAGCUCUCCACAAUGGAAACAACCUCCUCUGGAACGCUGAUGUGAGAAGAGAUACCUGGGAUGCUGAUGACAUGGCAACAGAGGCGUUCAACAGCUCUCAUUCCAGAGGAGGUCGUUUCCACUUCACAAUUCAAUACACAACUCAACAUCCAACAAGCUCGCCUUGAAUAAGAGAAACUAAAAAAUACUUUUAAAAUACUUUCAAAGUACUUAUACUUUACUUGAGUACUUCCAUUUUGAAGAUUUUACUCUACUAUACUUCAGAGGCAAAUACUUUUACUUCAACACAUUCACAACAUUGGAAGCUAUAGUUACUAUUUUGCAUAUAAAUAUUUUAAACGUUAAGUUAAAAUGAGCUAAAAUUCCACAAGCAACAACUUUAAAUAACAAUAUUGAUAUUAAUAUGCAUCUUCUGCGUGACGAGUACUUUAUGUACCUUUACUGAAGUAAAGUUUUUUCUUAAUCCUGGUCUUUUCUUUGUAAUAAGUAUUUUUAUAUUUAGACACUACUUCUUUUACUUUAAUAAAAUUUCUGGAUUCUU
Seriola aureovittata is the source of this 1874-nucleotide long non-coding RNA. RefSeq lists it as uncharacterized. The record is from RefSeq and is a predicted model, not a curated record. Lineage: Eukaryota; Metazoa; Chordata; Actinopteri; Carangiformes; Carangidae. The transcript has 2 exons.